AGGGCACAGCGCAGAGGCUCCAGAAGACCCUUGGAUCCCUUCUCUGAGGCUGUGUACGAGGAGAUUGAUUAUAACCUGAUGAGAGAGAAGCAGGAGAUGUUCAGUCGCUCAGUCUCCUAUUCAGAUGACUCAGUGAUAAAGCUGCAGUAUUACACCGGG
Gopherus evgoodei (Goodes thornscrub tortoise) is the source of this 159-nucleotide long non-coding RNA. RefSeq lists it as uncharacterized. The record is from RefSeq and is a predicted model, not a curated record. Lineage: Eukaryota; Metazoa; Chordata; Testudines; Testudinidae. The transcript has 3 exons.